Molecule: long non-coding RNA, 329 nt
Organism: Eucalyptus grandis
Lineage: Eukaryota; Viridiplantae; Streptophyta; Magnoliopsida; Myrtales; Myrtaceae
Exons: 3
Source: RefSeq, a predicted model, not a curated record
GGCGGUUCUUCGGUCUGCCUUUGAGCGAGAAGAUGAAGCUGCCGAGGAACGAGAAGCACUGAGGCUACACUCCUCUGUUCGAUCAAGUCCUUGACCCUGCAAAUCAGAUAAACGGUGGUGGUUGAGUCGCAUUUCCUAGAAAAGGAAGAUCAAUUUGUUAUUAUUCCUGUUUUCGGUUGUAUUCUUGGAGAGAACUGCCACUGAAUUGGGAGUUUGAAUUGCUAACACACGACCAUGAACUCAAGAGAUUAUAAGGAGGGAUACUACAUACAAGUGGAAGUACCAGAGGACGAUCCUCGUGUGUAGAAGGCUCAUUUUGGACCGAACCC